Molecule: transfer RNA, 77 nt
Filed under: Bacteroidota bacterium
Lineage: Bacteria; Pseudomonadati; Bacteroidota
Also listed under: 1 other name
Description: Bacteroidetes bacterium (marine metagenome) tRNA-Arg
Rfam family: tRNA
About the family: Transfer RNA (tRNA) molecules are approximately 80 nucleotides in length.
Source: RNAcentral
GCGCCUGUAGCUCAACUGGAUAGAGCAUCUGACUACGGAUCAGAAGGUUCGGGGUUCGAAUCCCUGCAGGCGUACCA